CGGCCCCAGUGGCGGACGGGUGGGUAACGCGUGGGCAACCUGCCUCGCACUGGGGGAUAACACUUAGAAAUAGGUGCUAACACCGCAUAGCGGGCGGGGGCGCAUGCCCCUGCCCUGAAAACCCAGGUGGUGCGAGAUGGGCCCGCGUCUGAUUAGCUUGUUGGCAGGGUAACGGCCUACCAAGGCGACGAUCAGUAGCCGGCCUGAGAGGGUGGACGGCCACAUUGGGACUGAGACACGGCCCAGACUCCUACGGGAGGCAGCAG
This 266-nucleotide ribosomal RNA is filed under the name uncultured bacterium. Its description in RNAcentral is "partial 16S ribosomal RNA". It matches the Rfam family "Bacterial small subunit ribosomal RNA", at positions 87 to 354 of the family's 1533-position model. The record is from RNAcentral.